Molecule: ribosomal RNA, 268 nt
Filed under: Salmonella enterica subsp. enterica serovar Newport
Lineage: Bacteria; Pseudomonadati; Pseudomonadota; Gammaproteobacteria; Enterobacterales; Enterobacteriaceae
Description: partial 23S ribosomal RNA
Rfam family: Bacterial large subunit ribosomal RNA
Source: RNAcentral
GGCGAGGGGAGUGAAAAAGAACCUGAAACCGUGUACGUACAAGCAGUGGGAGCACAGGUUUACCUGUGUGACUGCGUACCUUUUGUAUAAUGGGUCAGCGACUUAUAUUCUGUAGCAAGGUUAACCGUAUAGGGGAGCCGAAGGGAAACCGAGUCUUAACCGGGCGUUAAGUUGCAGGGUAUAGACCCGAAACCCGGUGAUCUAGCCAUGGGCAGGUUGAAGGUUGGGUAACACUAACUGGAGGACCGAACCGACUAAUGUUGAAAAA